Molecule: long non-coding RNA, 555 nt
Filed under: Chinchilla lanigera (long-tailed chinchilla)
Lineage: Eukaryota; Metazoa; Chordata; Mammalia; Rodentia; Chinchillidae
Description: lncRNA (ENSCLAG00000025456.1)
Source: RNAcentral
UAGCAACACUAAACUCUCAAAACUAUCUUGUCUGAGUCAGUAACAUCAUAAUGGUUGUGACUAUGUGACUAUGUGCUCACAUAGUGAUUGAGAAUAAACUCUGGUUGCUUGGUUUGGGAUAACAUCAGAGUCACUUCUUCUUUAGCUUGUUUUCUGAUAUAUAAAAGAAUGCAGUUGCCUGGGGAUAUAGUUCAGUGUCAUAAGCACCUGCCUGGCAAGUGCAAAGCCAUGAGUUCGAUUCCUGAUGCUAAAAAGAGAAAAACAUAAAGAAUGCAGCUGAACAUAUAUCUCUAUUUCAGCCCUAAACUAAAUAAUGUCCUUACCCAUGCCUCUUUUGAAAUUGCUGCAAGCAACUGCAUUCAUGAAGCCCCUCCGAAUCUGAGCAGGCAGAACUUACUUUGAGAUAACUUCAGCAAGUAUUCUAGGUCUGAAUGUUCUCAAAAAUUGUUCAGGUGCGUAUUGCUUUUCUGACAGUAGUAUCUAUUACCAUUGCUAGCUUCUUUAUGUUAAUUUCAGUUUCUAAAUAAAAGCAGGUUCCUGGUAGACACUUUUUUU